Molecule: long non-coding RNA, 670 nt
Organism: Leptopilina boulardi
Lineage: Eukaryota; Metazoa; Arthropoda; Insecta; Hymenoptera; Figitidae
Exons: 3
Source: RefSeq, a predicted model, not a curated record
UAUUGAAGUCUUCAACGCUCUUUUGGAUUGAAGAUUUCGCGGUAUCUAACAACUUCUGUACUUCUGGAUUCUUUUCUUGAAACUUAAAACAAAAACGAAUAUUAAUGAAAAACUAGUUGGAAAAAAAGGAAAGAAAAAAUGGUGAAUCUGAAAAAGGGAUUUUCAAAGAGAAGGAAAAAAAAAAAAAAUUGUACGCCCUUGGCAUUGGCUUUCUCUUGCAAAUAUGCAAAAAAGUUAGGCGUAACAGGAAUUUCUGCUGGCGCUUGCUGUGCUUAAUUGACACUUUGUAUUGCGUGGAGUUUUCGAAUUGUCGGCUUCUUGACGAGCUUGGAAGAAGAGAGAGAGAGAGAGAAGGAGAGCAACUUUUAAAAAAGGGAGCUAGUUAGAAAAAGUCAAAAAGCGUAGCGAAGAAUUUGACUUUUCCUCAGGGGGCCACACACAGACUGAAUUAUCCAAAAAUCGAGAGAGACAAAAAUCUAACCCACUGACACACAUGGCUUCUAAUUAGCUAAAUUCUAUAAGAAUUAAAUACUCACAUGUCCAUUAUCAUCUAGUUGAUUGUUAGUCAAUUUGAGUUUGUCAAAUGAAACAGGCUGUUUCAUCCAAUGAGCACCACUCGCUGGACUAUCGGGAUGAACAUGAAUUCGCGGAGGCGAAACAGGAUCUGCUC